GUGACGAUGCGACGCCGCGUGAGCGAAGAAGGCCCUAGGGUUGUAAAGCUCUGUCGAGGGUUAUGAAAUAUAGAUGGGUUAAUACCCCAUUUAUUUGACAAAAGCCCAAAAGGAAGCCACGGCUAACUCUGUGCCAGCAGCCGCGGUAAUACAGAGGUGGCAAGCGUUGUUCGGUAUUAUUGGGCGUAAAGAGCACGUAGGUGGUUCUGUAAGUCAGAUGUGAAAGCCUUCUGUUCAAAGGAAGAACGGCAUCUGAAACUACAGAUCUUGAGUGUAGGAGGGGAGAGUGGAACUUCUGGUGGAGCGGUGAAAUGCGUAGAUAUCAGAAGGAACGUCGGCGGCGAAAGCGACUCUCUGGCCUAUUACUGACACUGAGUGUGCGAAAGUUAGGGGAGCAAACGGGAUUAGAUACCCCGGUAGUCCUAACUGUAAACGAU
Molecule: ribosomal RNA, 437 nt
Filed under: uncultured Planctomycetota bacterium
Lineage: Bacteria; Pseudomonadati; Planctomycetota
Description: bacterial SSU rRNA
Rfam family: Bacterial small subunit ribosomal RNA
Source: RNAcentral